RNAcentral lists this ribosomal RNA (450 nucleotides) under uncultured bacterium. Its description in RNAcentral is "bacterial SSU rRNA". It matches the Rfam family "Bacterial small subunit ribosomal RNA", at positions 355 to 801 of the family's 1533-position model. The record is from RNAcentral.
UCGGGAAUUUUGGGCAAUGGGGGCAACCCUGAUCCAGCCAUGCCGCGUGAGUGAAGAAGGCCUUCGGGUUGUAAAGCUCUGUCGGGAGGGACGAAUAGGGUGGUGUAAUGGCCACUUCUGACGGUACCUCCAAAGGAAGCACCGGCUAACUCUGUGCCAGCAGCCGCGGUAAUACAGAGGGUGCAAGCGUUGUUCGGAAUUACUGGGCGUAAAGCGCGUGUAGGCGGCGUCGUGAGUCAUAUGUGAAAGCCCUCGGCUCAACCGAGGAAGUGCAUGUGAUACUGCGAUGCUUGAGUGUUGGAGGGGGUGGCGGAAUUCCCGGUGUAGAGGUGAAAUUCGUAGAUAUCGGGAGGAACACCUGUGGCGAAGGCGGCCACCUGGACAACAACUGACGCUGAGACGCGAAAGCGUGGGUAGCAAACAGGAUUAGAUACCCCCGUAGUCCCUGAG